GUGGUAGUAGCUCAGCCCGGUUAGAGCCCCAGAUUGUGGAUCUGGCUGUCGCGGGUUCAAAUCCCGUCUACCACCCCA
Molecule: transfer RNA, 78 nt
Filed under: Verrucomicrobiota bacterium
Lineage: Bacteria; Pseudomonadati; Verrucomicrobiota
Also listed under: 1 other name
Description: tRNA-His
Rfam family: tRNA
About the family: Transfer RNA (tRNA) molecules are approximately 80 nucleotides in length. Their secondary structure includes four short double-helical elements and three loops (D, anti-codon, and T loops).
Source: RNAcentral